Molecule: unclassified non-coding RNA, 234 nt
Filed under: soil metagenome
Description: partial internal transcribed spacer 1
Source: RNAcentral
UUGAAUUUUAAUGAAGAGUUUGGUUGUAGCUGGCCCCAUUCAUUUGGGCUGUGCACACCUUCCUCUUUCAUCCCACACACACCUGUGAACCUGUGAGACAGAGAUGGGGAAUUUACUUGCUGCUUUUUGGAAUACAAAGGCAAUAGGUUAUUGGACCCCCCCUCUGUCUACUCAAUUAAUAUAAACUCAAUUAUUUUAAAACGACAUGCUAAUGGAUGUAACAACAUCUCAUAC